GUGUGUGUGUGUGUGUGUGGUCUUCAAUCCUUUUAGUGAAAGAGAGGUUUUCCAUCCCUGUGGACAACAUCUUAUCAGUGGAGGAUGAGACUGGCACAGAAGUGGACAACUACGCAUUUCCAGAUCUACUGACUACCAGUGGAAUAUGCUUUGUCAUCAAAGAUUAACUGAAUGACAAUGGUGAGCCAUCCCCAUCCUCUGCUUCAGGCACAGAUACUAUUUCAGUCACUUCGAAAAGCAGCAGUGAAAACGAUUUCUACAGUGGCACUCUGAAACGCUUCAGAAAAGAGGAGGAGGCUUUGCAGGGUCCACAAGCCAAAAAUGAGAAUCCCUCAGCGACUGACCAAAGAGAAGUAUGCACUGGGGAUUGUUACCCUGUUUCCCUCGCUCAAAGAUCCACAUGGGAAGACAGGAUAUGAGCAUUUUUAUGACGGUCAGAAAGGAGGUGGGUCCUUUCAGUAUUCCCGCGGCUGCUGGACAAUAUUACAUUGAUUCUCCAAGACUUCAGUCUCCUCUUUGGGUCAGAAACUCCAUCCAAACUACUGGAAAAGUGGCCAACCUCCUUCAAAGCAAAGGUCAUCCAACAGGCAGAAAUGCUGACUUCCACACCCUUGCUGAAGCGCUUGUUGUUGUCUGCCAAGAACCAAAGGGCUGAUGAACCAUCACUGGAAUCACCAGAGUGGGACAGUGAUAUGGCAUCCAUCCUGCUCCUUCUGCACCUCCUGUCACCCCAGCCUGCGGGAAGGAAGAAAACCCAGAAGAUCAGUGUAGCUCAGGCCAUUGACCAUCUGGUCGUAUUUCACAAGUCCUGUAGGAGUCUGGAUGAGCACCUUCAGAGCCAUAUCGACACGAGCCAACCAUAUCUUCUUGCUUCAGGGGCCAUCGGCAACUUCUUUAUUCUGAUCGACAAGAAGCUCAUCCCCUGUGAGGCUACCACUUCCUUAGCAGCAAUUGAUGAACUUUUUAAGCUUCACUUUGUCUUAGGCACUAGCUAUGAUCCAGCACUCAAAAGCAUGUACACAUUUCUGCAAGCAACUGUCUAUAACAUAGAUUUUUUUUUUUACUGAAGCACUGGGUGUGAGUGUGUGUGUGGUCCAAACAUGUUGUUUGUUGCCUGGCACGGCAGGCAACAAACAACAUUUUUGGACCUCAACUGCCACAGAGGGUUAUUUAUAUACAUUUUUGCUGUUGAACAAUAUUGAAUGUUGGUUGAAUUGAAUAUUGGGAGAAUUUCUCAGUCUUAAGAGACAUGCCACCAUUCAAAUAAAGCACUUGUCAUAUGCUGAUAUCUGGAAUGAUUUAUUGGUCAUUGUAACUUUUAACACCAGUUUGUUGUACAUCAUAAUACCAAUACACGACAUUUGACACUAGAUUAGUGUUCAUUUUGAACUCCCAGAGGGUUGAGGCUAAUGCAAAAUGCAACACCAGUAUAUGUAAAUGCAAUAUACUGUAGUGUAUGUUGUCUUCAGUACCAUACAGUAACUAUGUUCAUGUCAUCUUCACUCUCAGUAAAGUCAUUGUGUCUGAUACUGUUAUGAGUAUUGAGAAUAAACCUAUUUGUGUGUUUCCACAUUGCAUGUGUUCAUUCAUAGUCCAUAUUUACAGCGUGCUACAAAUGAAAAUGCCUAAAACUUUGACUUGAAUGUCUUGUUUAUUAAUCAACUAAUGGACAAUGUUUCAAUUCAGUUCAUGUAAGCCUACACACACAUUCCUCUUUUGAGCGUCGAGUGAUUAUGGCCUGCAUGUCUUUCUGUUCUAACUCAGCUGUCAGCUCCUUACUGUCCUAAUGUGCACAAUGUAGUGACUGUUUUUUUGUCUUUUGUUUUCUUAGUUAUGUUCUCUGUAUUUUAUAUGUUUGUGUUAUGUGUAACGUUGCUGCCUUC
Gymnodraco acuticeps is the source of this 1883-nucleotide long non-coding RNA. RefSeq lists it as uncharacterized. Lineage: Eukaryota; Metazoa; Chordata; Actinopteri; Perciformes; Bathydraconidae. The record is from RefSeq and is a predicted model, not a curated record. The transcript has 7 exons.